This 440-nucleotide ribosomal RNA is filed under the name uncultured bacterium. Its description in RNAcentral is "bacterial SSU rRNA". It matches the Rfam family "Bacterial small subunit ribosomal RNA", at positions 338 to 795 of the family's 1533-position model. The record is from RNAcentral.
CCUACGGGGGGCUGCAGUGGGGAAUAUUGCACAAUGGGGGAAACCCUGAUGCAUCAACGCCGCGUGAGCGAUGAAGGCCUUCGGGUCGUAAAGCUCUGUCCUAAGGGAAGAAUACUGACGGUACCUUAGGAGGAAGCCCCGGCUAACUACGUGCCAGCAGCCGCGGUAAAACGUAGGGGGCUAGCGUUAUCCGGAAUUACUGGGCGUAAAGGGUGCGUAGGAGGACCUUCAAGUCAGAGGUGAAAGGCUACGGCUCAAACGUAGUAAGCAUUUGAAACUGUAGGGCUAGAGUUCAGGAUAGGAGAGUGGGAUUCCCAGGGUAGCGGUGAAAUGCGUAGAUGUUGUGAGGAACGCCAGUUGCGAAGGCGGCUCUCUGGACUGUAACUGACGCUGAGGCACGAAAGCGUGGGGAGCGAACAGGAUUAGAUACCCUUUUAGUC